GCCCCUGUCGUCUAGCCCGGCCUAGGACGGAUGGUUCUCAGCCAUCAAACACCGGUUCGAAUCCGGUCAGGGGUACCA
This 78-nucleotide transfer RNA is filed under the name Planctomycetota bacterium. Its description in RNAcentral is "tRNA-Glu". It matches the Rfam family "tRNA". From Rfam's summary of the family: Transfer RNA (tRNA) molecules are approximately 80 nucleotides in length. Their secondary structure includes four short double-helical elements and three loops (D, anti-codon, and T loops). Lineage: Bacteria; Pseudomonadati; Planctomycetota. The record is from RNAcentral.